RNAcentral lists this ribosomal RNA (474 nucleotides) under uncultured bacterium. RNAcentral describes it as "bacterial SSU rRNA". It matches the Rfam family "Bacterial small subunit ribosomal RNA", at positions 17 to 518 of the family's 1533-position model. The record is from RNAcentral.
UUAUGGCUCAGAACGAACGCUGGCGGCAGGCUUAACACAUGCAAGUUGAGCGGGAUUGUUGAGUAGCUUGCUAUUUAACAUGAGAGCAGCGCACUGGUGAGUAACACGUGGGAACAUACCUUUUGGUGGGGGACAACAGUUGGAAACGACUGCUAAUACCGCAUAAGCCCUAAGGGGGAAAGAUUUAUUGCCGAAAGAUUGGCCCGCGGAAGAUUAGGUAGUAGGUGGGGUAACGGCCUACCUAGCCGACGAUCUAUAGCUGGUCUGAGAGGACGAUCAGCCACAUUGGAACUGAGACACGGUCCAGACUCCUACGGGAGGCAGCAGUGAGGAAUAUUGGGCAAUGGAGGGAACUCUGACCCAGCCCAUGCCGCGUGAGUGAAGAAGGUUUUCGGAUUGUAAAACUCUUUCAGAUGGGAAGAUGAUGACGGUACCAUCAGAAGAAGCACCGGCUAACUUCGUGCCAGCCGCUGC